GAUGAACGCUGGCGGCAGGCCUAACACAUGCAAGUCGAGCGGAGCGGCGGAAGGGUGAGUAAUGCCUAGGAAUCUGCCUGGUAGUGGGGGAUAACGUCCGGAAACGGGCGCUAAUACCGCAUACUAUCAGAUGAGCCUAGGUAGGAUUCGCUAGUUGGUGGGGUAAAGUCCGACCAAGGCGACGAUCCGUAACUGGUCUGGGAGGAUGUUCAGUCACACGGGAACUGAGACACGGUCCCGACUCCUACGGGAGGCAGCAGUGGGGAAUAUUGGACAAUGGGCGAAAGCCUGAUCCAGCCAUGCCGCGUGUGGGAAGAAGGUCUUCGGAUUGUAAAGCACUUUAAGUUGGGAGGCGUUACCAGCAGAAUAAGCACCGGCUAACUUCGUGCCAGCCGCCGCGGUAAUAC
This 407-nucleotide ribosomal RNA is filed under the name uncultured bacterium. RNAcentral's name for it is "partial 16S ribosomal RNA". It matches the Rfam family "Bacterial small subunit ribosomal RNA", at positions 28 to 526 of the family's 1533-position model. The record is from RNAcentral.